UUUUUUUUUUUUUUUUAAAGACAGUUACUGAAAAUGAAUAAAGGAAAAAAUGUGCACAUCUAAAAGUGGUUACAUAAGCAGUCAGUUUUGAGUCAAUCAGACUAAUGAUUCCAAUAUGAAUAAUAAAUGACAGUUUAGGAAAAUUCAAUUUCAUCCCACACAGCAGCACUUUGCCUCAAGAUAGUUUUCUGUGUCACUUGACACAGCCUUCGUUUCAGGUUUCAGAUUUUGGUAGAUCUUGUAUUCAAAAUAAAUUAAUUAGGUUGAACACAUAGAGUUAGCUCAGUGGUAUUUGACCUUCUUGCCAUGAGCAAUAACUAGUUAGAAAGCCUGAGUUCGCUGACUUCCCCGGCUAAUUCUCAUUCAUUCGUUUGGUAUGGAUUCAUUUCCUCUCGGCUACCCUAAGCACUGAACGGAGGGCAGUACUGAGCUGGAAUCCCAGCCUUCCACCCCUACCUUAACCUUCCCGUGCCUCAGCUUCCCCAUCUAUAGAUGAGCGAUGGUAGCUCUUCCUCCCUCGUGCAGCGGUCGGUCAUGGGGAUUCAGGGAUUCGAUGUAGACCCACGAUCCCAGGUGGCAUAUUAUCCAAAUGGACGGAUUAUCGUCACCACAGAAAUAUCGAUGUGAUGGCGGCUGCCCCAGACCCUGCUGGGUAUAUGUUCUCCGAGGCUUUUCGAAAAUCCAAAUCAUCCAGAAUUCUGAAACACAUCUGGCCUAAGGUUUGGAAAGGGAUUGUACAGCUGUGUGUGUAAAACGCUUAGCGUGGUGCCUGGCACAUAAUAGAUGCUGUGUAUAUGGCAGCCAUGUAUCGUUGUUGUUAUUACUUGAAGCGCACACCACAGCCUCCGUAAUCAUUAUCAUGGAAAUGCAGAUGGUAACCACCACGAUGAGAUGCCAUUACACACCCAGCUCGGCAGCUGGAAGAAAAAGAUGGAGAUGAGGUCAGAGAGGGACUCGGAGGCCUUCCAGGGACGGAGGCUUUUCCCUGAAGGUACAGUGGGAGGGUGCUGAGCAGAGGAGGGAUGCGUUCUGACUCAAGGUAGCAGAGUCCCUCUGGCUGUGUGUGGGAGCAGGGGUGGGAGCCAGGAAAUCAGAGAGGGAGCGCCUGCUGUGGUUCACGGUGCAGGCCACAGGGGUGGGAGGUGAAGCAGGGUGAUUUGAAGAUGGAGCCAGUAGUAACUAUGAAUGGACUGAGUGUGGGGGUGAGCGCAGGGGAGGGUGGAGGAGGACACCAAGGUUUUGCCCUGAACACCAAGCGAAUAGUGAAGGCGGUGAGCUGAGGACCAGCAGAGCAGAGAUUUGUACGAAGGUAAAGGUGGUGGAAGAAUCAAGGAUAGAGCUGCUGGAGUGGAUUCAGGAGAAACAGGGCUUUGCCUUUUUUUUUUUUUUUUUUUUUUUUAAGAGCAGUUUUAAAAGGUGCACAGGGAGUUCCUUGGUGGCAUAGCAGUUCCGGAUCAGCCAUUGUUAUAGCUGCGGCUGGGGUCACUGCUGUGGCAUGGGUUUGAUCCCUGGCCUGAAACUUAUACAUGCCAUAGGUGUGGCCAAAAUAAAUAAAAGGUGUCCAGAAAAUUGGCCCCAAACAGGAAGUUCCCACAAGCUCCCCGACUCCCCGCUGCAGUUUACCCAUUUAUUUACACUCGUAUUAAUACAGCACUUUUUUUUUUUUUUUGCAAUUGAUGAGCCAGUACUGAUGGAUGCCUCGUUAUUAACUCAAGUCCACAGUUUCUAGUCCGGGUUCAUGGUUUGUGUUCUACAUGCCAUGGCUGCGACCCACGAGAUGUGGAUCCACCACAGCGGUAUUGCACCGAGCAGCCCCACAGCCCGGUGCUCUGCCUGCGUGUUUGUCCCCCACCCCCACCCCCCACCGAUCUUCCUGCUGAAGAACAGCAGGGCUUGGCGUCCAUCUCCCUGGUAUGAACCCGCGGCCCCAUGCGUUUUGUCUGUUGACGUGUCUUUAGCGCUUAGGCCACACCUGACACACAGUGGCUGCACAGUAAAAAUACGCUCAGAUAAUGUCUUCUUGGGUUGGGAGGGAUUCGAACCAGAAGGGACCCUCGGCAUCAGAGGCUUUCACUCCAGAGUGUGACAAUAUGUUCUGUGGGUCUGGACUUCUGUCCCCAGUAGGAUAAGGGGAAGGGAUUAUCAAAAAUGUAACCCAGACAUCUAACCCUUUACCGAGUGCCUGGCCUGUGGACAGGACUGACGUGGCUUCCCCGCCUGUAAAAUGGGAUGGUAAUAGUAUUGACCUCAUAGAGCCGUGUAAGGUGUCAGCGAGAUAAUGCUUCGAAACACUGUAGGUGUUUAAUAAACAUGAGCCGUUGUUAAAUGUAUUAAUAUCAUUGCCAUUAUUCUGACUUCCUGGCAUUCACCAUCUAGUGGGAGGAGAUUGAUAGCAAAUAAACACUCAAAUAACUGCAUAAUUUAACUGGUAACUAAACCCUAAAGGAGAAGUCCAGAGUGCCUUGAGAAAGAAUAACAGAGCUGGAGGUGGGGUCUUGUUUGAGGUUGGAGUGCAGUUGGGAGAGUCUGAGGAAGUGACCUAGAAGCAGAAACUCGCCCAGGGGUGGGCCGGAGGCAGGGGGUUUGGAGCAAGAAGAAUAGCCGGUGCAAAGGCCCUGAGGUGUGUUGGAAGGACAGAAGCCAGGCUGCCCUGAGCAGAGUGAUGGCGGGGAGGGUCGGUAGCCCGGGUCACACUGAACCAGUGAGCCAUCCCAAAGGUGUGGACUUUGUUCCCAUGUUCCCUGAGAGCCACGGAAGGAUUUUAAGGAGAGCAAUGACAUUGGUCUGGUUUGGUUUUUUAACUGCCAUGUGCACUUUCAAGGCCUGCUGUCCUGACUGCUUUCCUCCCCUGGUUCAGUUUGUACCAAGAGCUGCAAGCCAGGGUCAGGGUCAGGGUCAGAGCUUCAGGCCCUCCCCUGCCAUGUGGCACCUUGAAGUGCUGUACUGUCCUCUGACCAUCAACCUGCAGGGCUGGAAGGAGCUUUAUGUAAGGAGAAGGUGCCCUGGUUCCAGACUCAUCAGUCCUUAGGAAGGAAGCAGCUUGCUGAUCCAUCCCAGGCCACGGGGAGGCCUGAAAACAGGUCACCGCAGCACUGCCUCUUCCUCAGAAAGGCCUGAGGCCUCACUGACUCACGAUGCCUUCCCCUCAGAGGAGGGACCCCAGCCUGCUCCCUGUGAAGAUGGCCUCGUUUCCUCCCCGGCCUGCAGCUGCCAGUAGCCCCAUUCCCACCCCUUCCCCUAGUUGGUUGGUAAGAUGCCAGCUAAAACUCGUCUCUCAGUUCCCUCUUCUGGGCCAGGCCCUGGAGAGAUGUGGGAUGGGUGGGGGGGCAGUUUCCAGAUUACCUUUGUGGCCCCAGCUCUGCACAGGAAGUAGCGAUUUUGUGGGCCAAGAGUUUGGGGAGGCCCAGUGCUCCAGCCCCUCAGCGAGGACCCAGCUAAAUUCUCCAGCCCGGGAAUGAUGUGAGAUUGCCAGCCUGGGGAAAGGCCCAGGGACCUGGGCAUCUCUUCAGAGCUUGCCCUGGUGUCCCUCUGCUGGGGCGACCUCUCCUGGUUACUGGAUAAUUCCCUUCUCCUGCCACUCCUGUGGCUGCCCAUUCCCAGAGGUGGGCUUUGACCCUGUGGAGAGGGGGCCCACCUUCUGAGCACUUGGGUGCAUCCAGUCUCAGGAAACCCACAGAGCUUUUUUUUUGGCUUUAUAGGGUUGCACCUAUGGCAUAUGGAAGUCGAAUCAGAGCUGCAGCCGCCAGCCUACACCACAGCCACAGCACUGUGGGAUCCGAGCCAUGUCUGCAACCCACACCUCAGCUCACAGCAAUGCCAGAUCCUCAACCCAGUGAGCAAGGCAAGAGAUCGAGCCCAAGUCCUCAUGGAUACUAGUUGAGUUCGUUACUGCUGAGCCACAACGGGAACUCCGCCACAGAACUUUGAACCGUGGCUUCUCAGCAGUGCCACAUGAGUAGUCGCGAUGCCUUCCCAACCCGCUAUGCUGUGAUAAUCUAGAGGGGAAAAGGACCUGAAAAAGACUGGACGUGUGUACGUGCAUCACUGUGCUGUGCAGCAGAAAUUGUCACAACUUUGUAAAUCAGCUAUACUUCAAUAAAGCUUUUAAAAAUGAAAAAUAACACAGAUGCAUUCCACAUCCAGGCCUGCUCCUUGCUGCUAAGAUCUUGCUCAUUCCUCCUGACAACCCUAGGAGGUAGGUACUCCUAGGAAACAAAUGAGGAAACCAGGGCACAGAUAAGUCAGGUCACUUGCCUAAGCCACCCAGCUAGGAAGGAGUAGAGUGAGGAUGUGAACCCAGGCCCUCUGGCUUCAUAAUCACUAUGCUGUGCCUCCUGUCUGCCCACUCUCCCUAUCAUGUCACUCUGUUUGUUUUCUUCUCAGUACUUAUCAUACUCUGUUGAAUUGUAGCCUCUGUACACCCUUUAGCACGUAAGCUCCUAUUGGGUAAUACGAAUUACGUGCCUGGUUUGUUGAUAGAAACCCAACAUCUAGCACAGCAUCUGGCACACAGGAGCUGCUCAGGAAAUACCUGUUGAAUGAAUGCCAGUGGUGCCAGUGACGAGAAAUGUGGAGGAACUGGAUCUCUCCUUCUUUGUGGGUGGGAACGUCCAAGGGUAGAGGCACUCGGGGAAACGGAUUGGCAAAUUCUGAAAAACUAAAUAUGCACCUGUCAUACGGCCCAGGCAUUGCACUUCUGUGCAUUUAUCCCAGAGAAGUAAGACUUACGUUCACACAAAAACCUACAUACAGUUGUUCACAGCGGCUUAUUUAUAAAAUAGCCUAAAACUGGGAACAGUCUAGAUAUCCUUAGAUAAAUGGUUAAAAUGUGGUACAUCCAGGAAUUCCCUUCAUGGCUCAGCAGUUAACGAACCCGACUAGGAUCCACGAGGAUGCAGGUUCGAUCCCUGGCCUCGCUCAGUGGGUUGAGGAUCCAGCAUUGCCCAGAGCUGUGGUGUAGGUCGCAGACUCGGCUCAGAUCUGGCAUUGCUGUGGCUGUGGCGUAGGCUGGUGGCUGCAGCUCUGAUUAGACCCCUAGCCUGGGGACCUCCAUAUGCCACAGGUGCAGCCCUAAAAAGCAAAAAAAAAACCCACAACCCUGUCGUAUAGCUGUACCACGACAUACUAAUCAACGAUAGAAGGGAAUAAGCUAUUCAUACAUGCACCAGUUUGCAUCAACCUGAGGAAAUUGUGCUGAGUGAAAAAGCAAAUCCGAGUGUUCCUCUGAGGUGCAGUGGGUUAAGUAGCCUCAUAACCUACGCCACAGCUGUGGCUUGGAUUUGAUCCCUGACCUGGGAACUUUCAUAUGCUGCAGGUGCAGUCCAAAAAGAAGAGAGAGGGGGAAAAAAGCAAAUCCCAAAUGGUUACAUACAAGAUGAUUCCAUUUUAUAUUACUUUUUUUUAACUGUAUACUCCACAUGAUUUUAUUUUUUCUGCUCGCUGUUGAUAUUUAUUCUUUUUUGUGUAUAAUUUGUAAAGGUUACACCCCAUUUACAGUUACCACAAAACAUUGGCUGUAUUCCCGUGUUAUACAGUGCAUCCCUGUAACCUGUCUUACACCCGAGUUUGUACCUCCCACUCCCCAACCCCAAUAUUGCCCCGCCCCUGUAACGACUAGUUUGUUCUCUACAUCUGUGAGUCUGCUUUCUUAUUAUAAUCACUAGUUUCCUGUACUUUUUUUUAAUGGCCUCACCUGUAGCAUGUGGACGUUUGAGGGCCAGGCAUUGACUCCGAGCCGCAGCUGCAGCAAUGCCCUUUUUUAGGGCUGCAUGCUCGGCAUAUGGAGGUUCCCAGGCUAGGAGCCCACAGCCACAGCCACAGCAACGCAGGAUCCAACUGUGUCUACGACUUACACCACAGUCCACAGCAAUGCCAGAUCCCCAACCCACUGAGCAAGGCCAGGGAUUAAACCCGCAGCCUCAUGGUUCCAGUCAGAUUCGUUUCCGCUGCACCAUGAUGGGAACUCCAGCAAUGCCCUAUUCUUUAACCCACUGUCUUGGGCCUGGAAUCAAACCUGGCACCUCUGCAAUGACCCGAGCUGCUGCAGUCGGAUUCUUAACCCACUGUGCCACAGUGAGAACUCUUUGAUUGCUGUAUUUUUUUAGGUUCCACAUGUAAAUGAUAUCAUACGGUAUUUGUCUUUCACUCUGUCUGACUUAUUGCACUUAGCAUAAUGCCCUGAAAGUCCAUCCAUGUUGCUGCAACACACUACGUUUAUAAAUGGCAAAAUCGUACAAAUGGAGAACAUAUUGGUGGCUGUCACGGGUUAGGGACAGGGGGUUACGGAGGAGUGGGUUUGGUCAUAAAAGGUGCCACAAGGGAUCUUGGUGGUAGUGGAACAGAUCAUAACUUGGUUGUAAUGGUGGAUAGACAGACGUACACAUGUGAUGAAAUGGUAUAAAACUGAAUACACACACACACAGACCAGUGACUGUAGGAAAUGUGAAUGAAAUCAGAUUGUAUCAAUAUCCAUAUCCUGGUUAUGAUAUUUAUGAUAUUAUACUUCAUCUUUACAAAAUGUUACCGCUUGCCCAGUGGGUUAAAGUGCAUACAGUAUCUGUCUGUAUUGUCAUACAAGUGUGUGUCUACAGUUAUCUCAGUCAAAUGGCUGUUUUAUUUUUAUUUUUAUUACUCAAUGAAUUUAUUACAUUUAUAGUUGUCCAAUGAUCAUCACAACCCAAUUUUAUAGCAUUUCUAUCCCAAACCCCCAGCGCAUCUCCCCACCCCCCAAAUGCCUCAUUUGGAAACCAUAAAUUUCUCAAAGUCUGUGAGUCAGUAUCUGUUCUACAAAGAAGUUGUCUGUCCUUUUUUCAGAUUCCGCAUGUCAGUGAUAGCAUUUGAUGUUGGUGUCUCAUUGUCUGACGGAUUUCACUUAGCAUGAUAACUUCUAGGUCCAUCUAUGUUGCUGCAAAUGCUAUCAUUUCUUUCCUUUUAAUGGCUGAGUAAUAUUCCAUUGUGUGUAUGUACCACGUUUUCUUGAUCCAUUCCUCCGUCAAUGGACAUUUAGGCUGUUUCCAUGUCUUGGCUAUUGCAAAUAGUGCUGCAGUGAACAUUGGAGUACAUGUGUAUUUUCGAGUCACAGUUUUCUCUGGAUAGAUGCCCAGGAGUGGGAUUGCUAGAUCAAAUGGUAGUUCUAUGUUUAGUUUUCUGAGGACUCUCCAUACUGUUUUCCACAGUGGUUGCACCAAUUUACAAUCCCACCAACAGUGUAAUAGGGUUCCUUUUUCUCCACACCCUCUAAAAUGGCUAUUUUUAAAAGUUGCCAAUAAGACUGGAGGAGAGUGAAAGGGGAGGUGGAGGGUGACUCUGGAGAGGCAGGCAGAGCACAGGGCCUGUAGGCCAUGUAGAAGAGUUCAGAGUUUACCCUGAGGUCAGUCCCAGGAGGGUUUCAGGCAGGACAGGGACCUGGCCAGGUCUGCAUUUUUAAGUGAUAACUCUGGCUGCCACCCUGAGAGACUGGGCUCAGAGAAACUGGAGGAAAGAGCUUACAGCCAGGGGACCUGAGGGUGGAGAAAAGCAAACUGGCUGGAGGGUCUUUUAGGGCCGCAGCAGACCAGCCUCCGAAGGAGAGGGUCAGGCCUGACUCCUGGAACAGGGCACUCCAUUAAUAGGCGUCAUCAGCUGUGUCUUGUUUGGGGUGUGAGUUACACAGUGUCGCGUGUCGAAAUUCAACAAACUGUAAAACAAGUACAUUUUCUAUAUGUAAUUACACUUCAAUAAUUAGCUAGAUAGCAUCAAAUCAAAAUAACAACAGAGCUCACGUUUAUUAAGCCUUUAUUCUGAGCCGUAUACACGUGUUCGUUCAUUUUACCCAUACAUUUCUGUGAGAUGAGAACUUCUGUUCUCAUUUUCUAGAUGAGGCAACUGAAGUGAAUUCAGCCAGGGACCCAGGGCUGCCUCAUAGCAGAGCCUCGAAUGGCCCUGGGACAGGCCAGCUUCAGAGGGCAGGUCCCUUUGACUCCCCCUUGGGCUCAGUCAGGGCUUUCCCUUGGUUCUGAGGGAGGGAUGACCCCACAGCCGGUGGGGUCUCCUUGCUGAGGUCCCAGGCCGUGCGCCGUCUCAGAGCCCAGCAGUAGUCCGAUCUCAGGGUGCCCAGAUCCCAAAGUUCCACCUGUGAUUCGGGACCGGAGCCACUGCAGGAGAGCCAGGCCGGGCUUUCUUGUCCUGUCCUCUCAUCGACAGCUCCUGCCAGCCAGGGAUUAGAAUACAGGAAGAAAUAGAAUACAGGAAACUGUUAGCAGGAGAAAUAGAAUACAGGAAACUGGGUGCAGCUCGGCUCUCAUGAAGAAUGAAGGAGACGGGAGUUCCAGGCAUUGCUCAGUGGAAAUGAAUCAGACUAGUAACCAUGAGGAUGCAGGUUCGAUCCCUGACCUCGCUCAGUAGGUUAAGGAUCCCUUGUUGCCAUGAGCUGCAGUGUAGGUUAAAGUUGCAGCUUGGAUCUGGUGUUGCUGUGGCUGUGACAUAGACCAGCAGGCAGCUACAGCUCCGAUUGGACCCCUAGCCUGGGAACCUCCAUAAGCAGCAAGUGUGGCCCUAAAAAGACAAAAGACCAAAAAAAAAAAAAAAAAAAAA
Molecule: long non-coding RNA, 8571 nt
Filed under: Sus scrofa (pig)
Lineage: Eukaryota; Metazoa; Chordata; Mammalia; Artiodactyla; Suidae
Description: lncRNA (ENSSSCG00050034479.1)
Source: RNAcentral